Molecule: transfer RNA, 72 nt
Filed under: Chaetomium globosum CBS 148.51
Lineage: Eukaryota; Fungi; Ascomycota; Sordariomycetes; Sordariales; Chaetomiaceae
Description: tRNA-Thr (CGT) (tRNA-Thr-CGT-3-1)
Rfam family: tRNA
About the family: Transfer RNA (tRNA) molecules are approximately 80 nucleotides in length.
Source: RNAcentral
GCCUGAUUAGCACAGGGGUAAUGCGUUGCACUCGUAAUGCAAAGAUCACUGGUUCGAUUCCAGUAUCAGGCA